RNAcentral lists this ribosomal RNA (253 nucleotides) under uncultured bacterium. Its description in RNAcentral is "partial 16S ribosomal RNA". It matches the Rfam family "Bacterial small subunit ribosomal RNA", at positions 524 to 776 of the family's 1533-position model. The record is from RNAcentral.
UACGAAGGGGGCUAGCGUUGCUCGGAAUCACUGGGCGUAAAGCGCACGUAGGCGGCUUAUUAAGUCAGGGGUGAAAUCCUGGAGCUCAACUCCAGAACUGCCUUUGAUACUGGUGAGCUUGAGUUCGGGAGAGGUGAGUGGAACUGCGAGUGUAGAGGUGAAAUUCGUAGAUAUUCGCAAGAACACCAGUGGCGAAGGCGGCUCACUGGCCCGAUACUGACGCUGAGGUGCGAAAGCGUGGGGAGCAAACAGG